GACGAACGCUGGCGGCGUGCUUAACACAUGCAAGUCGUACGGUAAGGCCCUUUCGGGGGUACACGAGUGGUGAACGGGUGAGUAACACGUGAGUAACCUGCCCACAACUUUGGGAUAACGCUAGGUAACUGGUGCUAAUACUGGAUAUGUGCUCCUGCUGCAUGGGGGUGGUUGGAAAGCUCCGGCGGGUGUGGAUGGACUCGCGGCCUAUCAGCUUGUUGGUGGGGUAGUGGCCUACCAAGGCGGCGACGGGUAGCCGGCCUGAGAGGGUGACCGGCCACAUUGGGACUGAGAUACGGCCCAGACUCCGACGGGAGGCAGCAGUGGGGAAUAUUGCACAAUGGGCGCAAGCCUGAUGCAGCAACGCCGCGUGCGGGAUGACGGCCUUCGGGUUGUAAACCGCUUUCAGCAGGGACGAAGCUUUUUGUGACGGUACCUGCAGAAGAAGCACCGGCUAACUACGUG
Molecule: ribosomal RNA, 465 nt
Filed under: uncultured bacterium
Lineage: Bacteria
Description: partial 16S ribosomal RNA
Rfam family: Bacterial small subunit ribosomal RNA
Source: RNAcentral